UACAGAGGGUGCGAGCGUUAAUCGGAAUUACUGGGCGUAAAGCGCACGUAGGUGGCGACGUAAGUCGGGUGUGAAAGCCCCGGGCUCAGCCUGGGAAUUGCAUUCGAGACUGCAUUGCUGGAGUACGGAAGAGGAGGGCGGAAUUCCCGGUGUAGCGGUGAAAUGCGUAGAUAUCGGGAGGAACAUCAGUGGCGAAGGCGGCCCUCUGGUCCAGUACUGACACUCAAGUGCGAAAGCGUGGGGAGCAAACAGG
This 253-nucleotide ribosomal RNA is filed under the name uncultured bacterium. RNAcentral describes it as "partial 16S ribosomal RNA". It matches the Rfam family "Bacterial small subunit ribosomal RNA", at positions 524 to 776 of the family's 1533-position model. The record is from RNAcentral.